CUUUAUCUUACCUCUCUCCUUUGUUCUCAAUCGAUUGUAAAAUGUUUCUCCUACAACAAAGAUCUACUUUUUUUUCUCUCUCCCCCUUUCACUCUUCCAUGGCGCUUCUGCAAUCCCAGCUGUCUGUUACUGGUGAUUCUACAUAAACAAACCCCCCUUUCAUAUUCCCCUUCAAUUUACGCACACAACAACAACAACAUCCAUCGUUUCCGCAUUCGUGCAUCAGCAACUCUUGAAUCCAACGAUGGCGCCGCCACCCUCUCCGCCAUUGUUACUCAUGGAAGACGGUACUUUCCACUCGCCGCAGUUGUUGGACAAGCAUGUUAUUCUUACUCAUGAAGUUGUGAAGCUUUUUCCAAAGAAUUGACUUAUAUCCGAGUGAGAGAGACAUUGCAGAGCACAAAGAAGGAUUAUGCCAAAACGGAAGACGAUUUGAAGUCCCUUCAAAGCGUUGGACAGAUCAUAGGCGAGGUGCUAAGACCUCUGGAUAGUGAACGAUGUAACUACUACCUUUGCUAUUUUACUUCCGUUUACUUUUUACUUUGAUUGUACACUAUGUUUUAAUUUUCACUCUUUUGUUUUAAGUCAUGAAUAGGCAAGUUAUGUGUAAUGUGUGAAAUAGAAAUUUAAAACCAAUGUGGAGUGUAGCUGCCUUGUAAUUUGAAUCAUUAAAACAUGUUGUAUUUUGGAA
This is a long non-coding RNA of Helianthus annuus (common sunflower), 691 nucleotides long. RefSeq lists it as uncharacterized. NCBI's taxonomy places the organism in Eukaryota, Viridiplantae, Streptophyta, Magnoliopsida, Asterales, Asteraceae. The transcript is spliced from 3 exons. The record is from RefSeq and is a predicted model, not a curated record.